Molecule: small RNA, 255 nt
Filed under: Salvator merianae (Argentine black and white tegu)
Lineage: Eukaryota; Metazoa; Chordata; Lepidosauria; Squamata; Teiidae
Description: 7SK RNA (ENSSMRG00000008145.1)
Rfam family: 7SK RNA (bases 1-198)
About the family: 7SK was discovered as an abundant small nuclear RNA in the mid-70s but a possible function has only recently been suggested. Two independent studies have found that 7SK RNA binds the CDK9/cyclin T complex (known as elongation factor P-TEFb). P-TEFb activates transcription by phosphorylating the C-terminal domain of RNA polymerase II.
Source: RNAcentral
GGNUAUGAAGGUGAUUUGGUUGCAAAAUUUGUCAUCCCACUAAUCACCAGGGUUGAUUUGACUGAUCUGGCUUGCUAGGUGGGUCACCUUUUCCUUCCUUGCAGCUCCAUGUGGGUCCCUUCUGAGGUAGUGUGCUUAGUGGAAGAGAAUGGUGCCAACAUCAUUAAGAAGGAGCUGCUCCAGCAAGGGAAAACAUGAUGGUGUCCUCCUUGUUUUGGUAUAGGGUAAGAGUGGGAUCAGAGACAUUCUUGUUCU